AAAAAACUCUCAGUCCCUAAAUUUCAAACCACGGGUUUUACUCCUCACAGCUCAGCUGAGCUCCCUCUCCAGUCUCCUCACCUUAGCCUCUCACUCUUAUCUCUUGCCGCCUUCCACCACCGACCAGAUUUAGUACACAGGUUUUUCUUGUCUUAAUUCGAAGAUUUGUAGAUGCGGGAAGGUGAGGAGAAACCAACAAGAGAACAGCUGGAGGAGGUCAGUAAGAAUGAAUUUUAGGGUUUGGGUGAUAGAUUUCUCAUCACGCUGUUUAAUGUUGUAGGUGGAGAAAUUGUAGCAUGAAUUAAAUAAGGAGUUGCAACUGAACAAAAUUUCGAAUUGUGCAUAGGGAUGGGUCAAUUCACUCCUGUUCAUGUGUUUCCUUGUUACUCCCACAAAAGGUACUCGUGUUAAUUCCUUUAUGAGUGUUAUCUAUUUUCCUUGAAAAUUGUUGCUUAUCUGUGUGAAAGAGAAGAGUUACGUGACCAUAAUGUAUUCAAUUAAUUCAACGCAAUAUAAUUUUCGAAGCCCUAACAAUCACUUAGUUAUAAUGCUAAUGGAAGCCAAUUUUUCCUUUCCAUAGUACUAAAGCCGUUUUAACAACUAGAAGCUUUUUCACUCCGAGAGUCAUCUGAGGUUGGGGAAUCUUGGAAAGUUGAAAUAGGAUCAGAAAGAGAGUUAAUUUCUCUCCGAGAUAUCUCAUGCUGCUUUUUAGUUUCAACUCACCUGUUUUAUUUCCAACACCAUGACCUAACUCUUUCUUUCCCAUUACUUCGAGCGAUGGGGAUUUUUUUUCUUACAGCUGUAGACUUAAUGCAUACAAAUGGAAGUUGGAGCAUGUUGGGCAAAUUGUUGUCAAACGACCUCCCAGGCUAUGAUGUUAAUUCAAAUUAAUUCCCAAUCGGCUUUGGCAAAUGACUGAAUGGAAAAUAUAGCACCACAAUCGAAAUGACCCGACUCGAAGGUUAAUUGGGCCAUUUGAAGCAAACUAAAUUUUUAGUGUUGCUCAUGGCCCAACUCACUUGCUUGGAUGGCCAAAAUGAGAGAAGCCCACGUAGUAGCCCAUUUAUCUAAUGCUUGGGCCUUACUUGACCAAUUAGUUACCAUAUUGUAACUUCUUUACUUGGCCUCAUAUGCUUGAAUAUAUUUGGGCCGUGUUCUCUUCUCUUGAGGAAAAACUGUGUGCUUCCUUCUUUGUGAAAUUUUCGAUCUUCUGCUUCUCUGCUUGUCGCCUUCUCUCUUCACCUCUGCCUUUGUGGUAAUUGUUAUUGAGUUAUUGCCUACCUUUUGUUGUCUUCUAUGUAGAUAAUCUUUUGGCAAUUGUAAAUGGGAAGAACUUGACAUUGUCUUGGGUCGAUUGGUUUUUUUAUUGUGGUGAAAUUGGAAGGAUAAACUAAGCUUGGCAAACACCUUGGUGGUCAAUACAUUCUUCACAUUUGGUAUCAGAGCUUGCCAAAAGUCCUGCCAAAAGUUGAGAGAGAGAGUGUCGAAUCCUUUUUCCAACUGGAUUCGAAAUCUUUCAAUUUCUCCCAAACCCAGCCUCCGUUGGACAAAUGGAAGUCGGACCCAUAAUCAAUAGAUCGAGGCUCCCCCUUUGAGGUGGCGCGUGGAGUUUUUCGACGAGAUUUUUUCAGGCAUUUUGUCUAUUUUAAUAUCCUGAACGUACUGAUGCGGUUUAUUUAGUGUUUCAGGUUACGCAGGAAAACUUGGACGAUUUUACCCCUGGAUAUAAAUCUGUGUUUGUGGCUGAUGGGUAUUAGUAUAUUUGAUGAAUCUUUAGGGUGGAUAGUGGUGACCCCAAAGCAGUAAAUUUGCAUCUCUUGACUUUCCGGACUCAAAUAGUAGUGUCCCGUUUAAUAGCAUUAGCACGUCACCAUGCAGGGCGAUAGUAGGGUUGUGGUUACUGUGAGGGAUAACAUUGCUUGUGUUAGAAAUUAUGAUUACUUACUUUUAACUGUUUGAUUGAGUACUUGUUCUUGUUAAAUCAGAAUAUUGUUUUGUGUGCCAUAAUUGUCAUGAAAUUUGGUAUCUGUUAGAUAUAUCUAAUUUUUUGCUGUAUUGUUAUCUCCACUACUUACUAAUUCCGUUAGAAUAGUCAAAUUUACCCGUUUGAACAUUCCUUUGAUUUAAG
This 2128-nucleotide long non-coding RNA is filed under the name Olea europaea subsp. europaea. Lineage: Eukaryota; Viridiplantae; Streptophyta; Magnoliopsida; Lamiales; Oleaceae. The record is from RNAcentral.